This 471-nucleotide ribosomal RNA is filed under the name beta proteobacterium iMCIII22. RNAcentral describes it as "bacterial SSU rRNA". It matches the Rfam family "Bacterial small subunit ribosomal RNA", at positions 8 to 475 of the family's 1533-position model. Lineage: Bacteria; Pseudomonadati; Pseudomonadota; Betaproteobacteria. The record is from RNAcentral.
AGAGUUUGAUCCUGGCUCAGAUUGAACGCUGGCGGCAUGCCUUACACAUGCAAGUCGAACGGCAGCACGGGGGCAACCCUGGUGGCGAGUGGCGAACGGGUGAGUAACAUAUCGGAACGUGCCCUGGAGUGGGGGAUAACUAGUCGAAAGAUUAGCUAAUACCGCAUACGAUCUACGGAUGAAAGUGGGGGAUCGCAAGACCUCAUGCUCGUGGAGCGGCCGAUAUCUGAUUAGCUAGUUGGUGGGGUAAAGGCCUACCAAGGCAUCGAUCAGUAGCUGGUCUGAGAGGACGACCAGCCACACUGGGACUGAGACACGGCCCAGACUCCUACGGGAGGCAGCAGUGGGGAAUUUUGGACAAUGGGCGCAAGCCUGAUCCAGCAAUGCCGCGUGAGUGAAGAAGGCCUUCGGGUUGUAAAGCUCUUUUGUCAGGGAAGAAACGGUGAGGGCUAAUAUCCCUGCUAAUGACGG